This 226-nucleotide ribosomal RNA is filed under the name uncultured bacterium. Its description in RNAcentral is "partial 16S ribosomal RNA". It matches the Rfam family "Bacterial small subunit ribosomal RNA", at positions 14 to 236 of the family's 1533-position model. The record is from RNAcentral.
GGAUCAUGGCUCAGGAUGAACGCUAGCUACAGGCUUAACACAUGCAAGUCGAGGGGCAGCAUGGUCUAGCAAUAGACUGAUGGCGACCGGCGCACGGGUGAGUAACACGUAUCCAACCUGCCGAUUAUUCCGGGAUAGCCUUUCGAAAGAAAGAUUAAUACUGGAUAGCAUAACGAGAAGGCAUCUUCUUGUUAUUAAAGAAUUUCGAUAAUCGAUGGGGAUGCGU